AUGGGCCUCCAGCCUGCUGGGGUCGGCAGUGAGCGUGUGUGUUUCUACAGCCUUUCCUUGAACAGCUGAGAAGUGAUUGAAGCCUUGUUCUGCUCCAUCCAAGGCAAGGCUAUAGAAAUAGCAGACAAUU
Molecule: small nucleolar RNA, 130 nt
Filed under: Microtus ochrogaster (prairie vole)
Lineage: Eukaryota; Metazoa; Chordata; Mammalia; Rodentia; Cricetidae
Description: Small nucleolar RNA SNORA9 (ENSMOCG00000011820.1)
Source: RNAcentral